CUCGUGAUUAAAUAGAACCAGAUGCUCCGCAGGGCGUAGCUUUAUACGACCGCAGAGGUUGAACCCUGAACGGUUGGGGCAAGUAUGGACACAACAUUCAAGCUGGAUUCAGCUCUAAAUUUGGAUUGUGAUUAAAUAGUUGACACAGCAUAGGUUUCUGACACAGAAUGAAUGUGUUCUAACGAACUUAAAAUUUUAGUUUUCUCUUAGAGCAAUUCACUAUGCUGUUGAAUAUUAAUCCUCUCAAAAAAAUGUUUGAAGAAAUUUUCUUUUUAUUUAUGAAAUU
Molecule: long non-coding RNA, 286 nt
Filed under: Mytilus galloprovincialis (Mediterranean mussel)
Lineage: Eukaryota; Metazoa; Mollusca; Bivalvia; Mytilida; Mytilidae
Source: RNAcentral